ACGGUACAACGAGUCGCAAGACCGCGAGGUUUAGCAAAUCUCUUAAAGCCGUUCUCAGUUCGGAUUGUAGGCUGCAACUCGCCUACAUGAAGUCGGAAUCGCUAGUAAUCGCGGAUCAGCAUGCCGCGGUGAAUACGUUCCCGGGCCUUGUACACACCGCCCGUCACACCAUGAGAGUUUGUAACACCCAAAGCUGGUGGGGUAACCUUUUGGAGCCAGCCGUCUAAGGUGGGACAGAUGAUUAGGGUGAAGUCGUAACAAGGUAAC
This 267-nucleotide ribosomal RNA is filed under the name uncultured bacterium. RNAcentral's name for it is "partial 16S ribosomal RNA". It matches the Rfam family "Bacterial small subunit ribosomal RNA", at positions 1234 to 1500 of the family's 1533-position model. The record is from RNAcentral.